This 253-nucleotide ribosomal RNA is filed under the name uncultured bacterium. RNAcentral's name for it is "partial 16S ribosomal RNA". It matches the Rfam family "Bacterial small subunit ribosomal RNA", at positions 524 to 776 of the family's 1533-position model. The record is from RNAcentral.
UACGAGGGGGGCAAGCGUUGUUCGGAAUUAUUGGGCGUAAAGGGUGCGUAGGCGGCGCGGUAUGUCUCUUGUGAAAUCUCCAGGCUCAACUUGGAGUCUGCAAGGGAAACUGCCGUGCUUGAGUACUGGAGAGGUGAGUGGAAUUCCCGGUGUAGCGGUGAAAUGCGUAGAUAUCGGGAGGGACACCUGUGGCGAAAGCGGCUCACUGGACAGUAACUGACGCUGAUGCACGAAAGCUAGGGGAGCAAACAGG